RNAcentral lists this long non-coding RNA (511 nucleotides) under Homo sapiens (human). RNAcentral describes it as "non-protein coding lnc-MAP6-1:3". The record is from RNAcentral. Lineage: Eukaryota; Metazoa; Chordata; Mammalia; Primates; Hominidae.
UGUCAUUGGAAAAGUUUUAUUGAAAAAAAAAAUGUACAAAUAAGUUCUUGGAUUGAUAGCAACAAAGGCUCAUGUUCCCCCUUCCCUCCCUAUCUUUGAAGAACUAAAAAAGGAAGAAACAAAACAAAAAGUUCAUCCCCACAACGCCAGACACGAUGCUUCUUGACCAGAGUCUGCCCAGAAGCCCCUCCUGGGAGCUCCUUCUCAAUCCGCCUCACUGCGGCCAGGUCAUUCUGGGGGUGCCUGGUCCCAGGGGCUGCAGCACCUAGUUUUAUAGUUGGGAGAGGUUGGGAUAGAGCUGGGGAGGUCCGCUCAGGCACACGGGAACCCCGGUCUGUUUUUCCACCCCCACCCCAUGGAGUAUCCAAGGCUGGUACCUCACCUCCCCCCCAACCCCAAUAGCACCCAUGUGUCUCAGGAGCCUUUGGAUGCCUCCUGCCAUCCUGUGUGCACCCUGAGGCCCUAUAACUCGUCUCGCAUCUUGUCACCCUUAGGCCGGACCAGGCGCCCA